GUUUUCUAGGAUAGGCAAGGCCGCUCAUAACGGUCUGGUUGGGGGUUCGAGUCCCUCCGGGCCCACCA
Molecule: transfer RNA, 68 nt
Filed under: Nitrobacter hamburgensis X14
Lineage: Bacteria; Pseudomonadati; Pseudomonadota; Alphaproteobacteria; Hyphomicrobiales; Nitrobacteraceae
Description: tRNA-Met (CAT) (tRNA-Met-CAT-2-1)
Source: RNAcentral